RNAcentral lists this transfer RNA (92 nucleotides) under Aliivibrio sp. RNAcentral's name for it is "tRNA-Sec". It matches the Rfam family "Selenocysteine transfer RNA". RNAcentral also lists the same sequence under 1 other name. The record is from RNAcentral. Lineage: Bacteria; Pseudomonadati; Pseudomonadota; Gammaproteobacteria; Vibrionales; Vibrionaceae.
GGAAGUGGAUGAGAUCUGGUGGUCUCGACGGUCUUCAAAACCGAUGUGGGCUUUAUUAGCCUUGGCAGGUUCGAUUCCUGCUCCUUCCGCCA